AACGAACGCUGGCGGCAUGCCUAACACAUGCAAGUCGAACGAAGGCUUCGGCCUUAGUGGCGCACGGGUGCGUAACGCGUGGGAAUCUGCCCUUUGCUUCGGAAUAACAGUUAGAAAUGACUGCUAAUACCGGAUGAUGUCGCAAGACCAAAGAUUUAUCGGCCAAGGAUGAGCCCGCGUAGGAUUAGCUAGUUGGUGGGGUAAAGGCCUACCAAGGCGACGAUCCUUAGCUGGUCUGAGAGGAUGAUCAGCCACACUGGGACUGAGACACGGCCCAGACUCCUACGGGAGGCAGCAGUGGGGAAUAUUGGACAAUGGGCGGAAGCCUGAUCCAGCAAUGCCGCGUGAGUGAUGAAGGCCUUAGGGUUGUAAAGCUCUUUUACCCGGGAUGAUAAUGACAGUACCGGGAGAAUAAGCUCCGGCUAACUCCGUG
This 433-nucleotide ribosomal RNA is filed under the name uncultured bacterium. Its description in RNAcentral is "partial 16S ribosomal RNA". It matches the Rfam family "Bacterial small subunit ribosomal RNA", at positions 29 to 507 of the family's 1533-position model. The record is from RNAcentral.